This 253-nucleotide ribosomal RNA is filed under the name uncultured bacterium. Its description in RNAcentral is "partial 16S ribosomal RNA". It matches the Rfam family "Bacterial small subunit ribosomal RNA", at positions 524 to 776 of the family's 1533-position model. The record is from RNAcentral.
UACGUAGGGUGCAAGCGUUGUCCGGAAUUAUUGGGCGUAAAGAGCUCGUAGGCGGUUCGUCGCGUCGGCUGUGAAAUCCCGAGGCUCAACCUCGGGUCUGCAGUCGAUACGGGCGGACUGGAGUUCGGCAGGGGAGACUGGAAUUCCUGGUGUAGCGGUGAAAUGCGCAGAUAUCAGGAGGAACACCGGUGGCAAAGGCGGGUCUCUGGGCCGAUACUGACGCUGAGGAGCGAAAGCGUGGGGAGCGAACAGG